CGAUGAUAGCUUGCUAUCAGGCGUCGAGCGGCGGACGGGUGAGUAAUACUUAGGAAUCUACCUAGUAGUGGGGGAUAGCACGGGGAAACUCGUAUUAAUACCGCAUACGACCUACGGGAGAAAGGGGGCAGUUUACUGCUCUCGCUAUUAGAUGAGCCUAAGUCGGAUUAGCUAGAUGGUGGGGUAAAGGCCUACCAUGGCGACGAUCUGUAGCUGGUCUGAGAGGAUGAUCAGCCACACCGGGACUGAGACACGGCCCGGACUCCUACGGGAGGCAGCAGUGGGGAAUAUUGGACAAUGGGGGAAACCCUGAUCCAGCCAUGCCGCGUGUGUGAAGAAGGCCUUUUGGUUGUAAAGCACUUUAAGCAGUGAAGAAGACUCCGUGGUUAAUACCCACGGACGAUGACAUUAGCUGCAGAAUAAGCACCGGCUAACUCUGUGCCAGCAGCCGCGGUAAUACAGAGGGUGCAAGCGUUAAUCGGAAUUACUGGGCGUAAAGGGAGCGUAGGUGGCUCUAUAAGUCAGAUGUGAAAUCCCCGGGCUUAACCUGGGAACUGCAUCUGAAACUGUAGAGCUAGAGUAUGUGAGAGGGAGGUAGAAUUUCAGGUGUAGCGGUGAAAUGCGUAGAGAUCUGAAGGAAUACCGAUGGCGAAGGCAGCCUCCUGGCAUAAUACUGACACUGAGGCUCGAAAGCGUGGGUAGCAAACAGGAUUAGAUACCCUGGUAGUCCACGCCGUAAACGAUGUCUACUAGUCGUUGGGUCCCUUGAGGACUUAGUGACGCAGCUAACGCAAUAAGUAGACCGCCUGGG
Molecule: ribosomal RNA, 811 nt
Filed under: Psychrobacter sp. IM35TCBS
Lineage: Bacteria; Pseudomonadati; Pseudomonadota; Gammaproteobacteria; Moraxellales; Moraxellaceae
Description: bacterial SSU rRNA
Rfam family: Bacterial small subunit ribosomal RNA
Source: RNAcentral